UCUCACCUGCUCACCCUCACCGAACUCUCACCUGCUCACCCUCACCCUCCAUUCUUUUCUCCAAAAAUAGGAUUUUAAUUUAAAUCGUGGCAUCUCUUAAAAUUUCUCUGUGAAACCCUAGAUAUCACAAAGGACCUUUAUGCCGCCACAAUCGAACACCAUGGAAGUCGAUAAACACGUUCUCAAAAACUUUCACAUCACAGCCCUAAAACGCAUUUUCCUUCAAUCUUCUUUUGAUCGGUGGGAUUUUCUAUAAAGGGAAAAGAAGCAUGAGGUUGACCCAUGAACGACUUUGAAGGAUCUCAUUCUCACAAGGCCUCCAUGUCGGCGUCCACCACAAAUUAAUCAUUGUCAUCGUCAUUUGCAUUUCUCAAUGGACUCCUCCUGCAUGACAAAUAACCAGAAGUCUAGAACAUGACAGAAUCUGACUCUACACAUGCUGCUAGAAGGAACAUGCAUGUAGAACCUGAAAGAACACUAAUUGAUGCACAGACGGAUGAGUUUGAGAACAUUCUACAUUCUUUAACAUUAGAGAGAAGUCAGAUAAAGGUGAUUACGUGGUUUUCUUUGGAUAACACCAAUGCAGCUAGC
Vicia villosa (hairy vetch) is the source of this 591-nucleotide long non-coding RNA. RefSeq lists it as uncharacterized. The transcript is spliced from 4 exons. Lineage: Eukaryota; Viridiplantae; Streptophyta; Magnoliopsida; Fabales; Fabaceae. The record is from RefSeq and is a predicted model, not a curated record.